This 1434-nucleotide unclassified non-coding RNA is filed under the name uncultured Neocallimastigales. RNAcentral's name for it is "partial contains small subunit ribosomal RNA, internal transcribed spacer 1, 5.8S ribosomal RNA, internal transcribed spacer 2, and large subunit ribosomal RNA". The stretch from base 657 to 1434 matches the Rfam family "Eukaryotic large subunit ribosomal RNA", at positions 1 to 628 of the family's 3401-position model. The record is from RNAcentral. Lineage: Eukaryota; Fungi; Neocallimastigomycota; Neocallimastigomycetes; Neocallimastigales.
UUUCCGUAGGUGAACCUGCGGAAGGAUCAUUAAAAAAUUGGACUCCAUUGGUGAGUUCAUUAAUAAUCCUACCCUUUGUGAAUUUGUUUGUUUGAAUAAUUUUUUUUCCAAAAAAAAUUAUUGAAUGUCUUUCCCUGUUUUGGUGGAGCUUGUAAAGUGAAACCAGGCAGGGGAAUGGCAAACAAUAAUUAUUUUUGAAAAAGACCUUUUUUAAAAUUAAACUUUUUGUAUUCAUUUGUCUAAAAUUAUUUUUAUAAUAUAAAAACAACUUUUGACAAUGGAUCUCUUGGUUCUCGCAACGAUGAAGAACGCAGCAAAAUGCGAUAAGUAGUGUGAAUUGCAGAAUACGUGAAUCAUCGAAUCUUCGAACGCAUAUUGCACUUUUUUAGUUUACUAAAAAAGUAUGUCUGUUUGAGUAUCAGUAAAAUAUUCUCAUAAAAAAUUUAUUUUUUAUGGUUAUGAGUGUUUUACAACGAUAACAAGUUGUUUCACUUUAAAUUCUUUGUUAUCAAAAAAAUCAUUAAAAGCUAAUUUUAAAGAUUUUUUAAAAUUGGAUAAAAUUUUCCCGUAAAAAGGAAUAACCUAAACAAUUUUAAAAAAUUAAAAUUGGUUUGAUUUUUCUUGAUUUAAAAAGGAAAAAAAAGUAAAAAUUAACUUGAUCUCAAAUCAGAUAAGAGUACCCGCUGAACUUAAGCAUAUCAAUAAGCGGAGGAAAAGAAACUAACUAGGAUUCCCUCAGUAACGGCGAGUAAAGCGGGAAGAGCUCAAAUUUGAAAUCUUCAAGGUUUUACCUUGACGAAUUGUAGUUUAAAGAAGUGUUUUCUGUUGGAGUUUUGGUAAAAGUUCUUUGGAAAAGGACAUCAUAGAGGGUGAGAAUCCCGUAUUUGACCAUUAUCUCCAGCUUUGUGAUACACUUUCAAAGAGUCGGAUUGUUUGGGAAUGCAGUCCAAAAUGGGUGGUAAAUUUCAUCUAAAGCUAAAUACUGGCGAGAGACCGAUAGCGAACAAGUACCGUGAGGGAAAGAUGAAAAGAACUUUGAAAAGAGAGUUAAACAGUACGUGAAAUUGUCAAAAGGGAAGCGUUUGACACCAGUGUUGUUUUCUCGAAAAUCAAUUAAAAAAGGCCGGAUUUUGUGUUGUAUUGAUUUUAUCAGCUUUCUGCACUUUUUUCUUGUCUUUUUUAAUGCACUUUUCGUUUAACAAGUCAACAUCAAUUUCUUUUGUUGUAAAAGGGUCAUUGGAAGGUGGCUUUCUUUUCGGAGAAAGUGUUUAUAGCCUUUGGCCUCCGCAAUCGGAGAGAUUGAGGUCUGCAGCGUAGAUCCUUCGGGGUUAGAUACAUUUGUGCUAAGUUAUAGCCUUUCGUAGACAACUUGUUGACUAUGAUCAGUCAUGUAGCUUACUCGCUUAUGCUAUUUUACCUACGCUUAGGAUGUUG